Molecule: ribosomal RNA, 482 nt
Filed under: uncultured bacterium
Lineage: Bacteria
Description: partial 16S ribosomal RNA
Rfam family: Bacterial small subunit ribosomal RNA
Source: RNAcentral
AUUGAACGCUGGCGGCAGGCCUAACACAUGCAAGUCGAGCGGAUGAAGGGAGCUUGCUCCUGGAUUCAGCGGCGGACGGGUGAGUAAUGCCUAGGAAUCUGCCUGGUAGUGGGGGAUAACGUCCGGAAACGGGCGCUAAUACCGCAUACGUCCUGAGGGAGAAAGUGGGGGAUCUUCGGACCUCACGCUAUCAGAUGAGCCUAGGUCGGAUUAGCUAGUUGGUGGGGUAAAGGCCUACCAAGGCGACGAUCCGUAACUGGUCUGAGAGGAUGAUCAGUCACACUGGAACUGAGACACGGUCCAGACUCCUACGGGAGGCAGCAGUGGGGAAUAUUGGACAAUGGGCGAAAGCCUGAUCCGGCCAUGCCGCGUGUGAAGAAGGUCUUCGGAUUGUAAAGCACUUUAAGUUGGGAGGAAGGGCAGUAAGUUAAUACCUUGCUGUUUUGACGUUACCAACAGAAUAAGCACCGGCUAACUUCGUG